GAAACGACUGCUAAUACCGCAUGAAGCAUAGGGGUCGCAUGAUCUUUAUGCCAAAGAUUUAUCGCUUCAAGAUGGCCUCGCGUCUGAUUAGCUGGUUGGCGGGGUAACGGCCCACCAAGGCGACGAUCAGUAGCCGGACUGAGAGGUUGAACGGCCACAUUGGGACUGAGAUACGGCCCAGACUCCUACGGGAGGCAGCAGUGGGGAAUAUUGGGCAAUGGGCGCAAGCCUGACCCAGCAACGCCGCGUGAAGGAAGAAGGCUUUCGGGUUGUAAACUUCUUUUAAGAGGGAAGAGCAGAAGACGGUACCUCUAGAAUAAGCCACGGCUAACUACGUGCCAGCAGCCGCGGUAAUACGUAGGUGGCAAGCGUUGUCCGGAUUUACUGGGUGUAAAGGGCGUGCAGCCGGGUCUGUAAGUCAGAUGUGAAAUCCAUGGGCUCAACCCAUGAACUGCAUUUGAAACUGUAGAUCUUGAGUGUCGGAGGGGCAAUCGGAAUUCCUAGUGUAGCGGUGAAAUGCGUAGAUAUUAGGAGGAACACCAGUGGCGAAGGCGGAUUGCUGGACGAUAACUGAUGGUGAGGCGCGAAAGUGUGGGGAGCAAACAGGAUUAGAUACCCUGGUAGUCCACACUGUAAACGAUGAAUACUAGGUGUGCGGGGACUGACCCCCUGCGUG
Molecule: ribosomal RNA, 676 nt
Filed under: uncultured bacterium
Lineage: Bacteria
Description: bacterial SSU rRNA
Rfam family: Bacterial small subunit ribosomal RNA
Source: RNAcentral